UCCGGUUUGUCACCGGCAGUCUCAUUAGAGUGCCCUUUCGUAGCAACUAAUGACAAGGGUUGCGCUCGUUGCGGGACUUAACCCAACAUCUCACGACACGAGCUGACGACAGCCAUGCACCACCUGCACAGAAGUCCCUUGCGGGAGGUUCUGGCUUUCACCAAAAUUUCCUCUGCAUGUCAAACCCAGGUAAGGUUCUUCGCGUUGCCUCGAAUUAAACCACACGCUCCGCUGCUUGUGCGGGCCCCCGCCUAUUCCUUUGAGUUUUAACCUUGCGGCCGUAGUCCCCAGGCGGUGAACUUAAUGCGUUAGCUGCGGCACGGAGAACGUGGAAGGUUCCCCACACCUAGCGCCCAACGUUUACGGCGUGGACUAC
This 376-nucleotide unclassified non-coding RNA is filed under the name uncultured bacterium. RNAcentral describes it as "contains 16S-23S intergenic spacer region". The record is from RNAcentral.